GGGGCCUUAGCUCAGUUAGUAGAGCGCCUGCUUUGCAAGCAGGAUGUCAGGAGUUCGAAUCUCCUAGGCUCCA
This 73-nucleotide transfer RNA is filed under the name Microbacterium sp. Its description in RNAcentral is "tRNA-Ala". It matches the Rfam family "tRNA". Rfam says of the family: Transfer RNA (tRNA) molecules are approximately 80 nucleotides in length. Their secondary structure includes four short double-helical elements and three loops (D, anti-codon, and T loops). The record is from RNAcentral. Lineage: Bacteria; Bacillati; Actinomycetota; Actinomycetes; Micrococcales; Microbacteriaceae.